Molecule: ribosomal RNA, 591 nt
Filed under: Pelophylax plancyi (gold-spotted pond frog)
Lineage: Eukaryota; Metazoa; Chordata; Amphibia; Anura; Ranidae
Description: partial large subunit ribosomal RNA
Rfam family: Bacterial large subunit ribosomal RNA
Source: RNAcentral
UCGCCUGUUUUCCAAAAACAUCGCCUCUUGAUUAAACAUAAGAGGUCCAGCCUGCCCAGUGACAUAGUUUAACGGCCGCGGUACCCUAACCGUGCGAAGGUAGCAUAAUCACUUGUUCUUUAAAUAGGGACUCGUAUCAACGGCAUCACGAGGGCUAUACUGUCUCCUUUCUCCAAUCAAUGAAACUGAUCUCCCCGUGAAGAAGCGGGGAUUAACCUAUAAGACGAGAAGACCCCAUGGAGCUUCAAACUCAACAUACACCUCUACGCACUUAAACCACUUUAGCCCAAGAGACCUCUAUGUUAGUUUUGGGUUGGGGGGACCGCGGAGUAAAAAUUAACCUCCACGACAAACGGGCUUUAUGCCCUUAUCCACGAACCACAGCUCUAAGAAUCAAUAAACUGAUGUUUAUGACCCGAUUAUUCGAUCAACGAACCAAGUUACCCUGGGGAUAACAGCGCAAUCUACUUCAAGAGCCCCUAUCGACAAGUAGGUUUACGACCUCGAUGUUGGAUCAGGGUAUCCUAGUGGUGCAGCCGCUACUAAUGGUUCGUUUGUUCAACGAUUAAAACCCUACGUGAUCUGAGUUCA